This 449-nucleotide ribosomal RNA is filed under the name uncultured bacterium. Its description in RNAcentral is "partial 16S ribosomal RNA". It matches the Rfam family "Bacterial small subunit ribosomal RNA", at positions 29 to 523 of the family's 1533-position model. The record is from RNAcentral.
AACGAACGCUGGCGGCAUGCCUAACACAUGCAAGUCGAACGAGAUCUUCGGGUCUAGUGGCGCACGGGUGCGUAACGCGUGGGAAUCUGCCCUUUGGUUCGGAAUAACAGUUGGAAACGACUGCUAAUACCGGAUGAUGACGAAAGUCCAAAGAUUUAUCGCCAGAGGAUGAGCCCGCGUAGGAUUAGCUAGUUGGUGUGAUAAAGGCGCACCAAGGCGACGAUCCUUAGCUGGUCUGAGAGGAUGAUCAGCCACACUGGGACUGAGACACGGCCCAGACUCCUACGGGAGGCAGCAGUGGGGAAUAUUGGACAAUGGGCGAAAGCCUGAUCCAGCAAUGCCGCGUGAGUGAUGAAGGCCUUAGGGUUGUAAAGCUCUUUUACCCGGGAUGAUGAUGACAGUACCGGGAGAAUAAGCUCCGGCUAACUCCGUGCCAGCCGCCGCGGUAA